AACAGAAUUGUUACAAAAAUAAAAUAUUAAGAAAAAAGGCUAGAAUUUAUAUUUACUUUUAAUUUGUGAGAGGGAGAAACAGAAUGGAAAAUAAGAAUCUACUGCAUGCAUUUGUGGGAAUGUAUUUUAGUCCAGUUAAUUUUAUAGCUUAGAUUGUAUAAAAUUGAUUUACAAAUUCUAUCUUAAACAAUUCCACUUCCAAGUGUACUCAAU
Molecule: unclassified non-coding RNA, 213 nt
Filed under: Hevea brasiliensis (rubber tree)
Lineage: Eukaryota; Viridiplantae; Streptophyta; Magnoliopsida; Malpighiales; Euphorbiaceae
Source: RNAcentral